AUACUUACCUGGCAGGAAGAUACCAUCAUCACGAAGGUUGUUUUCCCAGGGCAAGGCUUGUCCAUUGCACUCCAGAUGUGCUGACUCCUGUGAUUUCCCCAAAUGUGGGAAACUCGACUGCAUAAUUUGUAGUAGUUGUUGGGAACUGUGUUCACGCUUUGCCCUAU
This 167-nucleotide small nuclear RNA is filed under the name Dasypus novemcinctus (nine-banded armadillo). RNAcentral's name for it is "U1 spliceosomal RNA (ENSDNOG00000035745.1)". It matches the Rfam family "U1 spliceosomal RNA". Rfam says of the family: U1 is a small nuclear RNA (snRNA) component of the spliceosome (involved in pre-mRNA splicing). Its 5' end forms complementary base pairs with the 5' splice junction, thus defining the 5' donor site of an intron. There are significant differences in sequence and secondary structure between metazoan and yeast U1 snRNAs, the latter being much longer (568 nucleotides as compared to 164 nucleotides in human). Lineage: Eukaryota; Metazoa; Chordata; Mammalia; Cingulata; Dasypodidae. The record is from RNAcentral.